CUUUGAGUAACUAAAUAAAGUCUUGAUCUUUUAAUUCAAUAAUGGUUUGUCGCCCCGAAGU
This 61-nucleotide transfer RNA is filed under the name Parborlasia corrugatus (corrugated ribbon worm). RNAcentral's name for it is "tRNA-Lys". Lineage: Eukaryota; Metazoa; Nemertea; Pilidiophora; Heteronemertea; Lineidae. The record is from RNAcentral.